Molecule: long non-coding RNA, 3676 nt
Filed under: Sus scrofa (pig)
Lineage: Eukaryota; Metazoa; Chordata; Mammalia; Artiodactyla; Suidae
Description: lncRNA (ENSSSCG00045028258.1)
Source: RNAcentral
UCACAGCAUAUGGAGGUUCCCAGUCUAGGGGUCUAAUCAGAGCCACAGCUGCCAGCCACAGCCACAGCAACACCAGAUCUUAGCUGUGUCUGGGACUUAUACUACAGUUCACAGCAACAAGGGGUCCUUAACCCACUGAGCAAGGCCAGGAAUUGAACCUGAAACCUCAUGGAUCCUAGUUGGACUUGUUUCUACUGAACCACAAUGGGAACUCCUAGUUGGAAAUAUUUUAUACAAAAAAGUCUUUCUUAACAACUCUUUGGCUACCUGAAAAUAAAAUUUGUACAAGAAAGGCAGAAUGAAUGUUUUAUUCUCCCUCUUUGUUUACCAAUUGCCACUAAUGUGUAAUUUAGCAACUUCCCAGAGCAAUUUCUGAGUUAAUUGUAAGUUCUUUCUUUUCUUAGUAUCACUAUAACUUGUGGAUGUUAACAUCACUGAUGAAAUAAAUGAUUUAGAAUAUGUUCUGCAGGCAAUGGUGAACCAGCAAAGGCCAUCCUCAACGUUCAAACAUAAAGCACAUCUGCAAAUGUAUCUAGAAAUCAAACAAUAAAUUUACUCAUUUUAGGAGGAAUCCUUUCCCACAAAGCUAAAGCAAAAGCAAAAUCUCUAAACACAGCUAAAAUUUUAGCUUGAACAAGGAAAACUUCCAGGAUUCUGUACUUGUUCUCUGAUUCUCUUCUUUCCUUUACUCACUUUGCUGGCCUUCGUCUCAUGAAUGAAUGUCUGGUUGAGGCUAGAGAUGCAGUGCCUCGGGCACACCUAAGGAUUUCAUCUUAUGUAAAUUACAUUUAUAAAAUCUACAUUUCCUGUAACUAGUAUUUGCACUUUCAUUUUUAUAAAAUAAGAGCAAGUAAAUUCUCGAAAUAUAGAACACUGCUCUAAUAAGUUAAAACUAUUGUGUGGAUGAUGGAGAUGAGGCUGAUGAAGCACUGACCAGCAGUGUGAGAGUCCAACAGGAUGGUCAGCAGAUGUACCAAGGCCAGAAUUGAAUCUGCAAAAGGAGGGUUGGGUGUUUUGAUAGGGAAUGCAUGAAAUUGUUUGUUUGUUUGUUUGUUUGUUGAAAAAACUUUGUUUCCAUUUGGUCCAAGGCUGGGGAGAGGGCUCCAGGGUGGUUAAAAAGUGACUACUGGCUGCAGGAAGGGGCUUUAGGCAGAAACUCUCACACCAGAGGGGCUCCUCAAAGGCCGCUGGGCUCCAGAGGCUCCUAGUCCUGCUUGAGGGUGAGCCUUUCCAAGAGAUACUCAUCCAGCUCAGCCUGGGGACCAGCCAUCCUGCAGAAGUUGGUCAAGUGGUCUCCGAUCUUUGCCUGCUCCUCUAGGACGUGGCUCUCCAGGAGGUCACAGAGGUGGGGGGUCUGCUCAGGCAGAACCCUGGGCAUGUGGAUCCAAAAGGGCAUGGUUCGGGUUCCCUUCCAGGACCAUGGCAGCUAAACCCCAUAGCAUCCUGGGUUUUACCCCACACAUCCUGAGAUGGCUUCUUUCUGGAAGAGGAUGGAGCUGCCUUGCUGGUUUUGCAUUUUUAAGAGGUGCUUGGUGCCCUUGCACUUCUCCUUGGCCAAUUCUCCAUAAAAAAAAAAAAAGUGGUCCACACCCUCUAGAGCUACAUUGUUGCGGAUGAAAUAGCCCAGAGAGAGGCAGGUGUGGGAGGCCCCCUGAUGGAGGUUGACCAGGCGGCUGAGAGUGGCCUCCACCUGGCAAGAAUAAUUCUGAUGCAUCUGGAAGCCCAGAGUUGAUCCAUAAUAAUGAGUUAAGCUCCGAAAAUGAUGUUAGCUGGUCACAGAGGCCGAGGAUAGCUGAGUGACUACCUCUGAAAGUUUCGAUUGGAAAAAAGUUUGGAGGGUGGUCAGAGGCUGGAGGAAGGGGUCUACCUGGGUCUGUUCCAUUGAAACACUGUUGAAGCGAGGGACACCUGUGGGACUGCCGAGCGCACUGCCUGAUGGGGAAUGCAUGAAACUGUUCUCGGCUGUGACAUGCUGGUUUUGCUAGGUAAUACUUUUCAUUUAGGAGUAUUUUGAAAAGCAAACAAAUUAAAUCAAACUAUCGAUUAUUCUAUUCCUUAAGGUUAACAUUUGGGUGUUUCUUCCUGUAAUUCUCUAUGUACAUAAUGAACGGUAUUGGAAUUAUCUAGGACAUAUUGUUUAGUAACCCCUUUUAAAAGUUUAAAUACGCUGGGAGUUCCCAUUGUGGCUCAUCAGGUUACUAACCCAACUAGUAUCCAUGAGGAUGCAAAUUUGAUCCCUGGCCUUGCCCAGUGGGCUAAGUAUCUGUGGUGAGCUGUGGUGCAGUUUGAAGAUGCAGCUCAGAUAUGGCAUUGCUGUGGUUGUGGUGUAGGCCAGCAGCUGCAGCUCUGAUUCGACCUGUAGCCUGGGAACUUCCAUAUGCCACAAGUACAGCCCUAAAAGGAAAAAAAAUAAAUAAAUACAUGGUUAAUUAUUCUCCUGUGUCACCUUCUCCCACAGCAGAAAUUCUUUUGUUUGUUCUUUUAAUUUUUUAUUAUAGUCAGUUUACAAUGUUGUGCCAAUUUCUGCUGUACAGUAAAGUAACUAAGCCAUACAUAUAUUUACAUUCUUUUUAAAAUAUUCUUUCCAUCAUAGUCUAUCCCAGGAGAUUCGACACAGUUUCCCUUGCUAUACAGUAGGACCUUAUUGUCCAUCCAUUCUAAAUGUAAUAGUUUGCAUCUACUAACCCCAAACUCCCUCCCCAUUCCACUCCCUCCUCCCUCUCCCUUGGCAACCACAAGUCUGUUCUCCAUGUCUGUGAGUCUUUCUGUUUUCUAGAUAGGUUCAUGUGGUGCCACAUUUUAGAUUGCACAUGUAAGUGAUACCAUAUGGUAUCUGUCUUUCUCCUUUGAACUUACUUCAAUUAGUAUGAGAAUCUCUAGUUGCAUUCUAAAAAUUUUAAGAGUAACAGGACCCAAAUCCAAUUUCCAAACAUGAAAUUCUGAUGAACAGGACCACAGAGCAGUAAUUCUGAUCUGAAUUGUGCUUAUUAAUACAAGCAGGCUAUUCCAUGGCACACACAGGUUCAAGAUGGGAGAUUAAGUUCAACAGCCAUUCAUUUAGAUUUGGUUUGAUUUUCUGCCAGUCUUAUGACUGACUUAAAACAGGUCCUAGGACAGAGAAUUUUUUGUUUGGUCGAGGGAAGCAGCAAAAUAGAGGAGCCACCCCAAAUUCCAGAUGAACAGAUAGAGUCAACAUUCUCUUUACACCAAAGUUACCCAUUUACUGCAGCAAAAUUUGAACCAAAAUGUUUAAAAUGCCACCUAAGUUAGGUCAAACAUCCUCUGUGGAAAGUAACCUGUUAGUAUAGAAAGGAAUGGAAAUGGUAAAGCUGAAAAGAAGCUGAAAACAAAAGACCUAUCAAUAGAUACAUUUUGCUUCCAAGACUCUACACUGCGUACAUGUCCUUAUUCAUCAUCCUCAGAAGAUGAAUUGAAGCUGAUUCAGUGUCACUUGCUUCUGCAGUAGUUUCCCAGGCAUCUUAGCUAGGAGACACCCUGCCCCCAGGGUAUUGAGGGCAAAUAAAUAUUUCAAGCCGACUGACAAUAGGAAAGAAUUGUAGGACAAGAAACUACCUGCAAUCCCUAGGUGGGAGUAUCCUGGAAAGUGACGUGCUGAAAUACCGACCCUUCCAGCUGGUUAACUCUGAGAUUCAAGCAUUUGCUUUAGUGAUAUGCA